RNAcentral lists this ribosomal RNA (253 nucleotides) under uncultured bacterium. RNAcentral's name for it is "partial 16S ribosomal RNA". It matches the Rfam family "Bacterial small subunit ribosomal RNA", at positions 524 to 776 of the family's 1533-position model. The record is from RNAcentral.
UACAGAGGGGGCAAGCGUUAUUCGGAAUUAUUGGGCGUAAAGGGCGCGUAGGCGGCCUGGCAAGUGGAAGGUGAAAUCCCUCGGCUUAACCGAGGAACUGCCCUCCAAACUGCUUGGCUUGAGUCCGGGAGAGGUGAGUGGAAUUCCCAGUGUAGCGGUGAAAUGCGUAGAUAUUGGGAGGAACACCAGUGGCGAAGGCGGCUCACUGGACCGGAACUGACGCUGAGGCGCGAAAGCGUGGGGAGCAAGCGGG